CUCACCAGAUGUCAGCAUCAUGCUCCCUGUACAGCCUACAAAACUGUGAGGAUUCAGGAGAUAAUUCUGCGAACAGAACAUCCUGAGAACUGAGAUAGGGGAAAUCGCUGGUAUUAGAAGGGUGAAAAGAAACUCCUGGAGGGCAGAGCCAUGCCUGCCAUCUUCAUCACUGCAUUACCACCACCCAGCACAGUGCCUGGCACAAAAGAGUUGCUCAAUACAUAAAUCAGGAUGAAUGGAUAAAUACACGGAUAGGCACUUUGAACUACAGAUGAGCUUAAAUACUUUGUGUUUCUCUUAGUCAAACAUGUGCAAUUAAGCAUGUGAUAAAUGAUAUGACCUCA
RNAcentral lists this long non-coding RNA (344 nucleotides) under Pongo abelii (Sumatran orangutan). RNAcentral describes it as "lincRNA". Lineage: Eukaryota; Metazoa; Chordata; Mammalia; Primates; Hominidae. The record is from RNAcentral.